Molecule: ribosomal RNA, 497 nt
Filed under: uncultured bacterium
Lineage: Bacteria
Description: partial 16S ribosomal RNA
Rfam family: Bacterial small subunit ribosomal RNA
Source: RNAcentral
GAUGAACGCUGGCGGCGUGCCUAAUACAUGCAAGUCGAGCGAACAGACGAGGAGCUUGCUCCUCUGACGUUAGCGGCGGACGGGUGAGUAACACGUGGAUAACCUACCUAUAAGACUGGGAUAACUUCGGGAAACCGGAGCUAAUACCGGAUAAUAUAUUGAACCGCAUGGUUCAAUAGUGAAAGACGGUUUUGCUGUCACUUAUAGAUGGAUCCGCGCCGCAUUAGCUAGUUGGUAAGGUAACGGCUUACCAAGGCAACGAUGCGUAGCCGACCUGAGAGCGUGAUCCGCCACACUGUAACUGAGACACGGUCCAGUCUCCUACGGGAGGCAGCAGUAGGGAAUCUUCCGCAAUGGGCGAAAGCCUGACGGAGCAACGCCGCGUGAGUGAUGAAGGUCUUCGGAUCGUAGAACUCUGUUAUUAGGGAAGAGCAAAUGUGUAAGUAACUAUGCACGUCUUGCCGGUACCUAAUCAGACAGCCACGGCUAACUACGUG